This 341-nucleotide unclassified non-coding RNA is filed under the name soil metagenome. RNAcentral's name for it is "partial contains 5.8S ribosomal RNA, internal transcribed spacer 2, and large subunit ribosomal RNA". The stretch from base 1 to 119 matches the Rfam family "5.8S ribosomal RNA", at positions 35 to 154 of the family's 154-position model. The record is from RNAcentral.
GAUGAAGAACGUAGCGAAAUGCGAUAAGUAAUGCGAAUUGCAGAAUCCGUGAGUCAUCGAAUCUUUGAACGCACAUUGCGGCCAUAGGUAUUCCUUUGGCCAUGCCUGUUCGAGCGUCAUUUACACCCUCAAGCCUAGCUUGGUGUUGGGCGCCUGUCCCGCCGUUUUCGCGCGCGGACUCGCCUCAAAGUCAUUGGCGGCGGUCGUGCCGGCCCCCUCGCGCAGCACAUUUGCGCUUCUCGGAGGCCCGGCGGAUCCGCGCUCCAGCAAGACCUUUCACGACUUGACCUCGGAUCAGGUAGGGAUACCCGCUGAACUUAAGCAUAUCAAUAAGCGGAGGA